UUGUGGUAUUUGAACAAUUAGGUGUGGUCUCUGGUGAGGAGAUUUGAUCAGCCGCAGAGGUAUAAGCCUUUCAUAAGUAGGUGCAUUGUACAGGGAGACCUUCAGAUUGGUAGUGUUAGGGAGGUGAAUGUUAAGUCGGGGCUUCCAGCUACCACUAGCACUGAACGAUUGGAGCUAUUAGAUGAUGAGGAGCAUAUAUUUAGGAUGACAAUUGUUGGAGGAGAUCAUAGGCUUAAGGUAUGAACAUUUUGAUCAUUUUUUGUGUGUAUUUGUGGCGUGAGUUUGAUUUGCAUUCUUGAAUGUUGUCGAAUCUCUCAGUGUUUGAGGUGUUCAACAAAGCAUUGGUAGGAACUCAAAAUUCGUCAUGAAAUUGAUAGGAUUGAGAAUUCGAUAUGAUGCAAAUAUCAGUCUAUAACCUUGGCUAUGAGAACUUGUGGUGUUGCAUUACUUCGUGGAUGGAAAGGCAUUUUUUCUUUCUCUAAGAUACAGUAAUAAUUUGGAAAAUUUGUGCCACAAGUUGCUAAGUUAAGUUUUUGUUGAGUAAUAAAGUGAUCUAGUUGCAGCUUGCAGGGACAAUGAGAUAAGAAUAAUCAUGUGAAACUUUCCAGUUUGAUCCACUUGGGAAAGUCAAAAUGUUAAAUCAUCAUGGGUUUCUAUGAUUUAAAAACUUCCAAAAGAAAUUUGAUUUUGACAGAACUAUAUUUUUGUUUCAUGUUAUGACAUUCACUAGAUAAUAUGAAAUUUCCUAUGAUAAUCAGCUAGAAUUAUUCAGUGUUUUUCCUUCUUGAAAUUUGCAUCUAAGGAUGCUUAUUGAAUCUUUACAGCAUACACAACUUUUGCAGCAGAUUCGUUAUUUUCUGUUUGCUGGCCAUGUUUAUAGGCUGAUAAGUUUGUCAAAUUUUUAAAUCAUUUUUUAAAUGAAGAAAAUGAUGAGAUGGGAAGCUCUGGACCUUUCGCUAUUGGAGGAGCUGCCAGUGGUGGCGGUGCAUUUUGGACGCUUCUGUUGAGACCUCCUCCUCUUACUCCAAUUUUCUCUCCCGAUUCAGUCAAUUAACUGAAUCUCAGGUAUUUUCGGCGAUCGUUUGACCUUUUUCCGGUCAGGAAUUUACCCUGUUUUUGCUGAAGUUACCUGGAUGGUGACUAGUGAUUAUAUGACCGUGAACAGCAAUGCGUUUAGCAAGAUGGAAGACGACUACAUCAGGAGGCACCACAAGCAUGAGGUUAAAGACCACCAGUGUAGCUCUUCUCUAGUUAAACACAUCAAAGCGCCAGUUCAUCUCGUAAGCCUUUGGUUUUCCGAUUUUUUAAGCAAAAUUUCUGUUUAGGUUAAUCGAUUUAUUGUUUGUAGAUCCGAUGCUAUUUUAUAUUAUAAUUGAUUGUCUAAUUUAUCUGGAUUUUAACUUUAGGCUUGUUUGUAAUAUAGUGCUUGUGGUAUUUGAACAAUUAGGUGUGGUCUCUGGUGAGGAGAUUUGAUCAGCCGCAGAGGUAUAAGCCUUUCAUAAGUAGGUGCAUUGUACAGGGAGACCUUCAGAUUGGUAGUGUUAGGGAGGUGAAUGUUAAGUCGGGGCUUCCAGCUACCACUAGCACUGAACGAUUGGAGCUAUUAGAUGAUGAGGAGCAUAUAU
Molecule: long non-coding RNA, 1625 nt
Filed under: Jatropha curcas
Lineage: Eukaryota; Viridiplantae; Streptophyta; Magnoliopsida; Malpighiales; Euphorbiaceae
Description: long non-coding RNA (JCUR_LNC002848)
Source: RNAcentral